GUCAUAUCACAUUGAAACACCUGCUUGAUCACUGAUGUUAAGCAAUGUUGAGCUUGGUCAGUACCUAGAUAGGUGACUGCUUGGGAAUAGCAGGUGCUGUGA
This is a non-coding RNA of Acanthosepion pharaonis, 102 nucleotides long. The record is from the annotation of a GenBank genome assembly. NCBI's taxonomy places the organism in Eukaryota, Metazoa, Mollusca, Cephalopoda, Sepiida, Sepiidae.